CCUACGGGUGGCAGCAGUGGGGAAUAUUGCACAAUGGGGGAAACCCUGAUGCAGCGACGCCGCGUGAGUGAAGAAGUAUUUCGGUAUGUAAAGCUCUAGCAGCAGGGAAGAUAAUGACGGUACCUGACUAAGAAGCCCCGGCUAACUACGUGCCAGCAGCCGCGGUAAUACGGAGGGGGCAAGCGUUAUCCGGAUUUACUGGGUGUAAAGGGUGCGUAGGUGGCAGGGCAAGUCAGAUGUGAAAGCCCGGGGCGCAACCCCGGUACUGCAUUUGAAACUGUCCAGCUGGAGUGAAGGAGAGGUAAGCGGAAUUCCUAGUGUAGCGGUGAAAUGCGUAGAUAUUAGGAGGAACACGAGUGGCGAAGGCGGCUUACUGGACUGUAACUGACACUGAGGCACGAAAGCGUGGGGAGCAAACAGGAUUAGAUACCCGGGUAGUC
Molecule: ribosomal RNA, 440 nt
Filed under: uncultured bacterium
Lineage: Bacteria
Description: partial 16S ribosomal RNA
Rfam family: Bacterial small subunit ribosomal RNA
Source: RNAcentral